This 449-nucleotide ribosomal RNA is filed under the name uncultured bacterium. Its description in RNAcentral is "partial 16S ribosomal RNA". It matches the Rfam family "Bacterial small subunit ribosomal RNA", at positions 29 to 523 of the family's 1533-position model. The record is from RNAcentral.
AACGAACGCUGGCGGCAUGCCUAACACAUGCGAGUCGAACGAAGCCUUCGGGCUUAGUGGCGCACGGGUGCGUAACGCGUGGGAAUCUGCCCUUUGGUUCGGAAUAACAGUUGGAAACGACUGCUAAUACCGGAUGAUGACGAAAGUCCAAAGAUUUAUCGCCAGGGGAUGAGCCCGCGUAGGAUUAGCUAGUUGGUGUGGUAAAGGCGCACCAAGGCGACGAUCCUUAGCUGGUCUGAGAGGAUGAUCAGCCACACUGGGACUGAGACACGGCCCAGACUCCUACGGGAGGCAGCAGUGGGGAAUAUUGGACAAUGGGCGAAAGCCUGAUCCAGCAAUGCCGCGUGAGUGAUGAAGGCCCUAGGGUUGUAAAGCUCUUUUACCCGGGAUGAUAAUGACAGUACCGGGAGAAUAAGCCCCGGCUAACUCCGUGCCAGCAGCCGCCGUAA